This 253-nucleotide ribosomal RNA is filed under the name uncultured bacterium. RNAcentral's name for it is "partial 16S ribosomal RNA". It matches the Rfam family "Bacterial small subunit ribosomal RNA", at positions 524 to 776 of the family's 1533-position model. The record is from RNAcentral.
GACGUAGGGCGCGAGCGUUGUCCGGAUUUAUUGGGCGUAAAGAGCUCGUAGGCGGCUUGUCGCGUCGUCCGUGAAAACCUGCAGCUCAACUGCGGGCUUGCGGUCGAUACGGGCAGGCUCGAGUUCGGUAGGGGAGACUGGAAUUCCUGGUGUAGCGGUGAAAUGCGCAGAUAUCAGGAGGAACACCGGUGGCGAAGGCGGGUCUCUGGGCCGAUACUGACGCUGAGGAGCGAAAGCGUGGGGAGCGAACAGG